Molecule: ribosomal RNA, 358 nt
Filed under: uncultured bacterium
Lineage: Bacteria
Description: partial 16S ribosomal RNA
Rfam family: Bacterial small subunit ribosomal RNA
Source: RNAcentral
UGGGGAAUAUUGGACAAUGGGCGAAAGCCUGAUCCAGCCAUGCCGCGUGUGUGAAGAAGGUCUUCGGAUUGUAAAGCACUUUAAGUUGGGAGGAAGGGCAUUAACCUAAUACGUUAGUGUUUUGACGUUACCGACAGAAUAAGCACCGGCUAACUCUGUGCCAGCAGCCGCGGUAAUACAGAGGGUGCAAGCGUUAAUCGGAAUUACUGGGCGUAAAGCGCGCGUAGGUGGUUUGUUAAGUUGGAUGUGAAAUCCCCGGGCUCAACCUGGGAACUGCAUUCAAAACUGACUGACUAGAGUAUGGUAGAGGGUGGUGGAAUUUCCUGUGUAGCGGUGAAAUGCGUAGAUAUAGGAAGGA